Molecule: long non-coding RNA, 2097 nt
Filed under: Homo sapiens (human)
Lineage: Eukaryota; Metazoa; Chordata; Mammalia; Primates; Hominidae
Description: long non-coding RNA NONHSAT223727
Source: RNAcentral
AAGAAACUGAGGCACUAAAGGAAGACAUGACUGCCCAGGGUCUCCCAGCUGGCUAGGCACCCACUGGGAAUGAAACCCAGCUCUCCUGACCCAAGACAAGCCCUCUUUUCUCCCAUCUCGACACCCGCACUUGGAAAUGGGUUGCUGCAGUAGGAAUUUGAAGUCUAGCAUUUUUUCCCCUUGCAAUCAAUUGAUACUGAUUUUCUUAUGAGUACAAAAUGAAUUGUCCAACACCAUUCGCAUAUCAGCUUGUGGCAGCAGUAAUAGUCACUAACAUUUAGAAAGGGGUGGCAUGGAAUUCACCUAGAGUUGACUCCCCACUGUGUGGUCAGUUCAUGAGCAUCUGCCCUGUGCUCAGCACCUUUCACACUGAUGUGACAAAUUCAGGAUGCAUCUCCAACUUUAAUAUGUACAUGAGUCACCUGGGAAUCUUGUUAAAGUGCGGAUUCUGAUUCAAGAGGUCUAGGUGGGACCUGAGACUCUAAUAAGCUCCCAGGUGAUCCUGGGGUUGCCAGUUCACAGACCACAUUUUGGGUAUUGAAAGUCUAGGUACCUCUGCUAGUUUGCUGAAUGCAACUGAGAAAGAAACCUCAGGGUUAAUGCUUGCAUUUUUCUGUCUUCAUUUCUCCAUUGUCCUACUCUCCUCCCUUGGAAGGCUCCAGCUUAGAAAAAGAAAACAUUAUGAAAUAGCAGUGCCAAACCUGAAUUACAAUGUUAGGCAUGUAAUUAUCUGGGCAAAAGCCAGAUGUCUCAGACUAGGGUUUAGUACAGCUUGCCAGGGCUGGGUAAAGUUCCUAGAUUGAAGACACAGUUGAGACUACAUGACAUAUGCAAGAGAAAAGGGGUACCUGUGCCUGAAACUCUGGGAGGUGAGAAGUGGACAAGGGUUACUGCUGCAUAAGUAAUUGAGGAAGCUUCUCCUUCCCCACCAGACUGCAAACUGAGAUGUUUGCAUAUUAAUCUUGGCCACAGGGGUGACUCGGUCUGUGUCUGCAAAUGAAAGGUUUCAUCCUUGGCUGUGAAAUAAAAAUAGCAAAUAGCAUGUGGCAUGCAGGGGCUUUUCCUCUAUAAGGGGCUGUCACUGUCCACUGUUUAAAGCCUCUGCUUGAGCCAUCUUCAAGGAAGGAGGGUUGUGAAUGAGUGGGGGCAGAUUGCAGAGCCAGUUCGUAGACAGCAGAGAUGCUCCAGGGAAAACCUCCCUUCUCUUGCUGUUUACAUUUGCACAUACUUACCAGUUUGCCAGAACUUCUUGGUGUCAACAACUUUGACUGAGACUGCGCCACGUGAAUGUAUCUCCUGGGGACUCAGAAGAUAGCUCAGGAGGUAAAGGCAAGGCCCCCGCACUGUGAUCUGACUGAGCUUAGGAGAAUUGGGCUCCUCAAAUCUUUUUGCAAACUCAGUUUCUUCUCAGAGGAAAAUGGUAACAGUGACAAUAAGAAAAAAAUAAAACCGUAUCUCUAAAGUGGAAAAGGCUAUAACAGUUCCCAUUACUCUUCUGGAGGGAAAACCAGUUCCAGUGGGCCUAGGGUUCCACAGCUAUGUAGGGCUUCUUUACAACUGAAGACUUUAGACCAUUUGGUUUGUAUUCAGUAGGACCAGGUGGAAGAUGUGAGGAUGGGAUGGUGAAUGGGAGGUAGAUAUCUGACUUUAGAUUUCUAGGCAUUUGCCAAAAUAUUCCUCCUCCAGUCAAGACUUGUUGCCAUCGGUGAAAAUGGUUAGUCACCUUAUAACAGUUGUGAUCUUCCUAAAUGCGCUCAGCAAAGGCAAAUGGAAUGUUCUGGAUUACCAACCAAUGGCCCAGAAGGUUGUACAUCACACUGGGAAUUGUUGCUGGUCUCUUUUGUUCGAAGUUGAACUAGAGAGGUGGCAAGCAGAGGUGGAACACUCUCAUCAGUUACUAGAAAGAUUUCCCACCACCCAGAUAAGCCAUAAACCAUCUGAGGGAAAGAAAGACUAAUUCCCUCAGCCAAUAUCAGCUCUAGCUCGAUAAUAAUUCCCAUCUUGGAGAUGGGAAUAGGGAAGGCAAAUGCCCUCUUCUUCAACAAGUCUCAGAGCUUACUGUAGUGUCUCAAGGAUAAGGCUCCUAUGACCCAAGAG